AUGCAGUGUACCCGCGGCAAGACGGAAAGACCCCGUGAACCUUUACUAUAGCUUGACACUGAACAUUGAGCCUUGAUGUGUAGGAUAGGUGGGAGGCUUAGAAGUGUGGACGCCAGUCUGCAUGGAGCCGACUUGAAUACCACCCUUUAAUGUUUGAUGUUCUAACGUUGACCCGUAAUCCGGGUUGCGGACAGUGUCUGGUGGGUAGUUUGACUGGGGCGGUCUCCUCCUAAA
Molecule: ribosomal RNA, 234 nt
Filed under: Escherichia coli
Lineage: Bacteria; Pseudomonadati; Pseudomonadota; Gammaproteobacteria; Enterobacterales; Enterobacteriaceae
Description: partial 23S ribosomal RNA
Rfam family: Bacterial large subunit ribosomal RNA
Source: RNAcentral